RNAcentral lists this ribosomal RNA (766 nucleotides) under uncultured Tomentella. RNAcentral's name for it is "eukaryotic LSU rRNA". The stretch from base 193 to 347 matches the Rfam family "5.8S ribosomal RNA". The record is from RNAcentral. Lineage: Eukaryota; Fungi; Basidiomycota; Agaricomycetes; Thelephorales; Thelephoraceae.
AUCGUCACGGGUUGUUGCUGGUCCUCAACGGGGACAUGUGCACGCUCUGUUUACACAUCCACUCACACCUGUGCACCCUCCGUAGUUCUGUGGUCUGGGGGACCCUGUCUUCCUGCCGUGGUUCUACGUCUUUACACACACACUGUAAUAAAGUCUUAUGGAAUGUAUGCCGCGUCUAACGCAAUACAAUACAACUUUCAGCAACGGAUCUCUUGGCUCUCGCAUCGAUGAAGAACGCAGCGAAAUGCGAUAAGUAAUGUGAAUUGCAGAAUUCAGUGAAUCAUCGAAUCUUUGAACGCACCUUGCGCCCCUUGGCUAUUCCGAGGGGCAUGCCUGUUUGAGUAUCAUGAACACCUCAACUCUCAUGGUUUGCCGUGAUGAGCUUGGACUCUGGGGGUUUUGCUGGCCUGCGGUCGGCUCCCCUCAAAUGAAUCAGCCUCCCAGUGUUUGGUGGCAUCACGGGUGUGAUAAAUAUCUACGCUCGCAGUUGUCCGCCNGGUAACCUUUGGUAACAAAGGUUCGCUGGAGCUCACAGAUGUCUCUCCUCAGCGAGGACAGCUUUUUGAACGUUCGAUCUCAAAUCAGGUAGGACUACCCGCUGAACUUAAGCAUAUCAAUAAGCGGAGGAAAAGAAACUAACAAGGAUUCCCCUAGUAACUGCGAGUGAAGCGGGAAGAGCUCAAAUUUAAAAUCUGGCGUGCCUCUGGUCGUCCGAGUUGUAGUCUAGAGAAGCGUUUUCCGUGCUGGACCGUGUACAAGUCUCCGA